AUACGGAGGAUGCGAGCGUUAUCCGGAUUUAUUGGGUAUAAAGGGAGCGUAGGCGGGAGCUUAAGUCAGCGGUUAAAUGGUGCGGCUCAACCGUGCCCUGCCGUUGAAACUGGGUUUCUUGAGAGUGCAAGAGGCGGAUGGAAUUCAUGGUGUAGCGGUGAAAUGCUUAGAUAUCAUGAAGAACUCCGAUUGCGAAGGCAGUCCGCUGGGGCACGGCUGACGCUGAUGCUCGAAGGUGCGGGAAUCAAACAGGAUUAGAUACCCUGGUAGUCCGCACGGUAAACGAUGAUUACCCGCUGUCGGCGGUAGACAGUCGGCGGCCAAGCGAAAGCGAUAAGUAAUCCACCUGGGGAGUACGUUCGCAAGAAUGAAACUCAAAGGAAUUGACGGGG
This 392-nucleotide ribosomal RNA is filed under the name uncultured bacterium. RNAcentral's name for it is "partial 16S ribosomal RNA". It matches the Rfam family "Bacterial small subunit ribosomal RNA", at positions 523 to 918 of the family's 1533-position model. The record is from RNAcentral.